This 496-nucleotide ribosomal RNA is filed under the name uncultured bacterium. Its description in RNAcentral is "partial 16S ribosomal RNA". It matches the Rfam family "Bacterial small subunit ribosomal RNA", at positions 28 to 507 of the family's 1533-position model. The record is from RNAcentral.
GAUGAACGCUGGCGGCGUGCCUAAUACAUGCAAGUCGAGCGAACAGACGAGGAGCUUGCUCCUCUGACGUUAGCGGCGGACGGGUGAGUAACACGUGGAUAACCUACCUAUAAGACUGGGAUAACUUCGGGAAACCGGAGCUAAUACCGGAUAAUAUAUUGAACCGCAUGGUUCAAUAGUGAAAGACGGUUUUGCUGUCACUUAUAGAUGGAUCCGCGCCGCAUUAGCUAGUUGGUAAGGUAACGGCUUACCAAGGCGACGAUGCGUAGCCGACCUGAGAGGGUGAUCGGCCACACUGGAACUGAGACACGGUCCAGACUCCUACGGGAGGCAGCAGUAGGGAAUCUUCCGCAAUGGGCGAAGCCUGACGGAGCAACGCCGCGUGAGUGAUGAAGGUCUUCGGAUCGUAAAACUCUGUUAUUAGGGAAGAACAAAUGUGUAAGUAACUAUGCACGUCUUGACGGUACCUAAUCAGAAAGCCACGGCUAACUACGUG